Molecule: long non-coding RNA, 246 nt
Filed under: Homo sapiens (human)
Lineage: Eukaryota; Metazoa; Chordata; Mammalia; Primates; Hominidae
Description: HSALNT0303048
Source: RNAcentral
GUUGCUGACCUGACCAGCUUGAGGCUUGCGCCACCCUGGUGGCGCUGGUUGGGGGCUGGUAGGAGGACGUCCGCUCUAAGAACAGAAGGGAAGUCAAGGGGCUCCCUGGACGGCACGGAGCGGUUCUUCUCGUCACUCACCCAUCCCCACCUGGGUUCGGUCAUCGUCCAUUGUUGGCCCCGCGCACUACCAUUUUCUUCUUAGAUUUCUUCCCAUUCUUACUGUGCCCCGCUCUUAACUCGUCAG